This 243-nucleotide ribosomal RNA is filed under the name Legionella septentrionalis. Its description in RNAcentral is "Legionella sp. km711 partial 16S ribosomal RNA". It matches the Rfam family "Bacterial small subunit ribosomal RNA", at positions 1294 to 1533 of the family's 1533-position model. The record is from RNAcentral. Lineage: Bacteria; Pseudomonadati; Pseudomonadota; Gammaproteobacteria; Legionellales; Legionellaceae.
CGGAUUGAAGUCUGCAACUCGACUUCAUGAAGUCGGAAUCGCUAGUAAUCGCGAAUCAGCAUGUCGCGGUGAAUACGUUCCCGGGCCUUGUACACACCGCCCGUCACACCAUGGGAGUGGGUUGCACCAGAAGUAGAUAGUCUAACCUUAGGGGGGACGUUUACCACGGUGUGGUUCAUGACUGGGGUGAAGUCGUAACAAGGUAGCCGUAGGGGAACCUGCGGCUGGAUCACCUCCUUAAAA